RNAcentral lists this transfer RNA (84 nucleotides) under Marivirga arenosa. Its description in RNAcentral is "Marivirga sp. BKB1-2 tRNA-Leu". It matches the Rfam family "tRNA". Rfam says of the family: Transfer RNA (tRNA) molecules are approximately 80 nucleotides in length. Their secondary structure includes four short double-helical elements and three loops (D, anti-codon, and T loops). Further hydrogen bonds mediate the characteristic L-shaped molecular structure. tRNAs have two regions of fundamental functional importance: the anti-codon, which is responsible for specific mRNA codon recognition, and the 3' end, to which the tRNAs corresponding amino acid is attached (by aminoacyl-tRNA synthetases). tRNAs cope with the degeneracy of the genetic code in two manners: having more than one tRNA (with a specific anti-codon) for a particular amino acid; and 'wobble' base-pairing, i.e. permitting non-standard base-pairing at the 3rd anti-codon position. Lineage: Bacteria; Pseudomonadati; Bacteroidota; Cytophagia; Cytophagales; Marivirgaceae. The record is from RNAcentral.
GCGCACGUGGUGGAAUUGGUAGACACGCCAUCUUGAGGGGGUGGUGGGCGCAAGCCCGUGGAAGUUCGAAUCUUCUCGUGCGCA